This 1030-nucleotide unclassified non-coding RNA is filed under the name Caenorhabditis elegans. RNAcentral's name for it is "Non-coding transcript of protein-coding gene Y32G9A.3b". Lineage: Eukaryota; Metazoa; Nematoda; Chromadorea; Rhabditida; Rhabditidae. The record is from RNAcentral.
ACACGUUGAGCAAAUUAUUUCAUUUCUCACUCUUAUUGAAAAGAGUAUUCGUCGUUGGAUUGCUUUUUGGAUCUUUCUUCGUCUGAUUUCACUUUUUUUUUGUUGGAUUUCACUUUUUUUGGUUGUUUUCAUCGUACUCUUUGCAUCAUCAUGAUCAGGAUUUGUUCGGGUACCUCCUUGCCCACACGGAAAGGAAGAAUGUGAUGACGUGGAAAGCGAUGGGAAUAACGAUGGGAGGCAGGCUUGAUGCUGGUAACGCGGGAGUGGCGUACAGAUGCACGUUGGACGGGAAAGAGUUAGUGGCAAAGCUCUAUCCUCUACAGACGGAUAGUGUCAAUCUUCAAGCCCAGGCCGAAAUUCAAGCCUAUGGCCGCCUCACUCCUGUCGCCAAGAAGACACCCAAUUUUUCGCCUCUCAAGACGUCGGCUGUCGUCACUAAACUUCCCGAUUAAAAGAGUUGCUGCCUGACGAUGACAUGGAUCACAUGCUUGUUCUGGUGAUGGAGCAUGCCGGAACACAGUUCGGCCAGGGUUACCUGACGGCGGACGUAGCGACGAGCAUCCUACGUCAAUUCGUCUUGUCGACGAUGCUUGCAAAUGAAGCCGGGGUCUUUCAAAACGAUCCAAACUUCGGGAACUUGCUUGUGAAGGAAACCAAAGAGGACCAGCUGGUGUUCAAGAUGAAUCGUCAGAAAAUGAAAGUCAAGAGCCACGGAGUAUUGCUCACGAUCAUUUACUUCAGUCAAGCCACGAAUGUUCUGGAUCCCACCAGCCCACCACACGAAGACGUUGCAAGUCUGGCUCAGGAUUUGAAGGAACUUGCGACGUCCGUUGCUGAUCGUGAUAAGAUGGUGCAAACCUUUGGAGCAUGUGCCACAGCCACUUCAAUGCAGGACAUCUAUCCAAAUAGCGACUUGUUCAAGGACUGAUGGGAUCUUCACGACUCUGCUGCGAAAAAUUACUCGCUUAAUUCAACUUUCUGUGAUUUCUUUUUUAAUUCAUUCCUGUCAUACUCUAUUUAAAAUUUUUUC